Molecule: long non-coding RNA, 2846 nt
Organism: Haliotis rubra (blacklip abalone)
Lineage: Eukaryota; Metazoa; Mollusca; Gastropoda; Lepetellida; Haliotidae
Exons: 2
Source: RefSeq, a predicted model, not a curated record
AUAAAAAUGGAAACUACUAUCAAUUAUAUUUAGUUCUGUUUUCAGCAAAAAUGAAGUACUGAGAACUGGUUUAGAAUUUCAGCUUUCAGUGAAGCCAACUGUCAUUUUUACAUGGAUUUGCAGACUAUUGUGAAUUUGAAAGUCUGGCAACAUGAAGACUUCACAACUCAGUCACCUUGUUCAGAAAUUUUUUUUUGGUUUAAACCAGAUGGAAAUGUUGUACAGACAGGAUCCACUGUCUGCAGCCAUACAUAGACUGUGAUAACAAUCAUUUAGUGCAAUAUCUUGUCCUCUCAGUGUUUGUCACAACAGUUGUCUCCCUUCUUCACACAGUGACCACCAGAUGUCAUGGUGGAUGUGGUGGUAGAUAUACAGAGUAUACACUGGUGUUCUCCAGCACUGUAAACAGACAAUAUAUCAUGGUAUCUGCACUGUCAUCAGCUUGGCUGUUUUAGUUUGUGUUGUUUAGUUUCCAUUGUUACAUUGGUCAGGCUUAUUUCCAUUAAUAAGAUUGUACAUAUUGUAAGCUUGUAUUUGUGUGUGAUGCGUGUGUAUGUAGGAUGUUUGUCGAGGAUACAGCCUUGUUAACCUCCACACCUGUUCACUGCCAUGGUAAUACAUCACAGGUGUCAUGAUAUGAGACCAUUCUAACAGAGUGGGACAAUGCUUCACUGAGCAGAUCAAUGCUAGGUCUAGACAUAAGUAGAGACUGUCAACUUGGAUGUGUAGUAGGGUCCACAUGUCAAUAUCGAGCCAUGGCAAUGCAGGGGAGGGACUGGUAAUUUUCGGUUUACAAAAAAAAAAGAUAAUCAUGAAAAUAUCUGGAGGCUUGCACCCAUAUGAAAAUAUGUUUUCACUGGAAAUAUUCAUGGUCUGAAAUAAUGCACUGUGGGUAGAAAACUUGAUUUGAUAGAUUGGUAUUGUUUCACGUUCUGUCUCAAACAAAAGUCCCAGUCUGCCCCAUCCCUAAGGAUAUUGUCAGGUUGAUAUGUAUCCUAAUAUUUGAUUAAACCCCAACUUCCUUGGAUUGCUAAUUGACACUUUAGGUCUCUUCCUCUCAACACUCCCUUGACAUACAUUCCUGUAUCAUACAAACAGUUGACUACAUACUUUCACAAUGGUGUCUGUUUCCGUGAUUAAUAGGAGAAUGAUAUGCUGAGUAUGUCAAAAUAUAUCAUCAGAUAGAGAUAAUUUAUUUGUUUUUCAUUAUUCAGAUUGUUGUUUAAUGCACAUGUAUAUUUAGAAUGAAUGUAAAAUGUGUAUGUGUGUGAUAUGCUAACCUCUCAAGAAACAGUUUGAGGUUAGAGACCCUAUCUCAUCCCCCCUUGUGUAGUAUGGCUUCGUAUCGUCCGACCUGAGUGUGUAUACACAGACUGUUAUCACUGAUAACUUGGCCUUAUGUGUGGCUACCACUGUUGGCCGGCAUGUUUCUUGAGACAUUUUCCAUUGCAGCUUUACAAUGUUUAUUUUGUCUGUGUUUCAACUGAAAAUUGUUAUCCUUGGCUUGGCAGUGGUUGUGCUUUCAUUUUCAGAUUUACUCAAAAUUCAGAAAUAUUUGCAGAGAAGAUGAUUCGUGUUGUAUUGUAGGUGUUUCUUGGUUUGUCAUUUCGGGAUUAGGUUGAUAACAUUUGUAUAUUGUGCCAUGAUGGACGGAGCUCUUACUGUUCCCCAAGACAUGAAAGGGAAGACGGACUGGUCACUUGUUAUUGGGGGAUGGGCUGGUCAGAUUAUAGGGGUGGGGUGGUUAGAUUAUAGGGGUGGACUGGUCAGAUUAUAGGGGUGGGCUGGUCAGAUUAUAGAGGUGGGCUGGUUAGAUUAUAGGGGUGGGCUGGUCAGAUUAUAGGGGUGGGCUGGUCAGAUUAUAGGGAGUGGGCUGGUCAAAAUAUAGGGUGGGGGAGGAUGGGCCAGAUUAUUGGGGAUGGGCUGGUGUGGUCAGGUCAGAUUAUUGGGUUACUAAAACAUGGGAGUUUGGGAAGAAUGUUAUGUUAAAAGGGGAUUAGGUAUUAUAGCAAUUUUACAUCUAGAUUUGGGACAUGCUUGGGACACAGGAAGAGUUUCUUCUCAGUGUGUUGUAUAACACCAGCUCCAUGCUGUGUGGUUACGGUGUUGGUCCAGACUGUAGUAACAUCUUAACAUGUCGGGAUCACACCAGUCAGUUGUACUUCCGGAACAGGACUGUGGUCGUGACGGACUCCGAUGUAGAUAGACAUUCAAGGUGUUCAAGUCCCAACUAGAGGGCCAGACAUCUUAUCUGCCUGUGAUAAUUUCUGUGACAGUUGUCAAGAUCAAAUAUAUAGAUGUAAAGCCAGAUGCUACAGAGGAAAUAUAAUAUAUUAUGUCACCAUGGUAACCCCAACUUCACCCACACAGGUUUUGUCACUUGUAACCUACGUUUAUUCUGCGACAGUAAUUUGGCAAUGUGUAUCCAUUUGCUAUGUAACCAUGGUAACAUAGGGAAAAUUGGGGAAAUUAUUUCAGCUGAUAAAAUGUUCUGAUGAAUAUGUUCUUUUUGCUUUUGUGAAAAUUCACAACUAUGCUCCUAUCUCGCAUGUUCCAAUAUAUUAUUCUUUUGUUCAAAGAGUGAAUUAAACUUUUACUUUGAAUAAAAGUCUGUGUGGGGUUGCCAUGGUGACAUGACUUAGCUAAGGCUGUUUUGUCCUGUGAUGUGUCACCUACCAGUCUUGUAUAUAGUUGUAAGGGGAGUAGUACCUGGAGUUUAUGAUGUACAUAGUUGUAAGGGCAGUAGUACCUGCAGUUUACAUUGUACAUAGUGAAGAGAACAUUUGCACUGUCAUAUUUUCAUCAUUUUUCUCAGAUUGAAAAAGUAUAUAAACUAUUUCAAAAUA